Molecule: ribosomal RNA, 674 nt
Filed under: uncultured archaeon
Lineage: Archaea
Description: bacterial SSU rRNA
Rfam family: Archaeal small subunit ribosomal RNA
Source: RNAcentral
CCGGUUGAUCCUGCCGGAGGUCACUGCUAUUGGGAUUCGACUAAGCCAUGCGAGUCGAGAGGGUUCGGCCCUCGGCUGACGGCUCAGUAACACGUGGAUAAUCUGCCCUUAGGUGGAGGAUACCCUCGGGAAACUGAGAAUAAUACUCCAUAGGUCUAGGAUGCUGGAAUGCAUCUAGACUUAAAGCUCCGGCGCCUAAGGAUGAGUCUGCGGACUAUCAGGUUGUAGUCAGGGUAAAGACCUGACUAGCCUACGACGGAUACGGGUUGUGAGAGCAAUAACCCGGAGAUGAUAUCUGAGACACGAUAUCAGGCCCUACGGGGCGCAGCAGGCGCGAAAACUUCACACUGUGCGAAAGCACGAUGAGGGAAUCCCAAGUGCUUGCACGUAAGUGUAAGCUGUUUCUUUGUUUAAAACGCAUUGAGAGUAAGGGCUGGGUAAGACGGGUGCCAGCCGCCGCGGUAAUACCUGCAGCUCGAGUGGUGGCCGCUAUUAUUGGGCCUAAAACGUCCGUAGCCGGUUUAGUAAAUGCCUGGGUAAAUCGUGUAGCUCAACUAUACGAAUUCCGGGUAGACUGCUAAACUUGAGACCGGGAGAAGUUAGAGGUACUCCUGGGGUAGAGGUGAAAUUCUGUAAUCCUAGGGGGACCACCAGUGGCGAAGGCGUCUGACUAG